GUGCCAGCAGCCGCGGUAAUACGUAGGUGGCAAGCGUUGUCCGGAAUUAUUGGGCGUAAAGCGCGCGCAGGCGGUCUUUUAAGUCUGAUGUGAAAGCCCCCGGCUCAACCGGGGAGGGUCAUUGGAAACUGGAGGACUUGAGUACAGAAGAGGAGAGUGGAAUUCCACGUGUAGCGGUGAAAUGCGUAGAGAUGUGGAGGAACACCAGUGGCGAAGGCGACUCUCUGGUCUGUAACUGACGCUGAGGCGCGAAAGCGUGGGGAGCGAACAGGAUUAGAUACCCUGGUAGUCC
RNAcentral lists this ribosomal RNA (292 nucleotides) under uncultured microorganism. RNAcentral describes it as "partial 16S ribosomal RNA". It matches the Rfam family "Bacterial small subunit ribosomal RNA", at positions 505 to 796 of the family's 1533-position model. The record is from RNAcentral.